GAUGAACGCUGGCGGCGUGCCUAAUACAUGCAAGUCGAGCGAACGGACGAGAAGCUUGCUUCUCUGAUGUUAGCGGCGGACGGGUGAGUGACACGUGGAUAACCUACCUAUAAGACUGGGAUAACUUCGGGAAACCGGAGCUAAUACCGGAUGAUAUUUUGAACCGCAUGGUUCAAAAGUGAAAGACGGUCUUGCUGUCACUUAUAGAUGGAUCCGCGCUGCAUUAGCUAGUUGGUAAGGUAACGGCUUACCAAGGCAACGAUGCAUAGCCGACCUGAGAGGGGGAUCCGCCACACUGGAACUGAGACACGGUCCAGACUCCUACGGGAGGCAGCAGUAGGGAAUCUUCCGCAAUGGGCGAAAGCCUGACGGAGCAACGCCGCGUGAGGGAUGAAGGUCUUCGGAUCGUAAAACUCUGUUAUUAGGGAAGAACAUAUGUGUAAGUAACUGUGCACAUCUUGACGGUACCUAAUCAGAAAGCCACGGCUAACUACGUG
RNAcentral lists this ribosomal RNA (497 nucleotides) under uncultured bacterium. Its description in RNAcentral is "partial 16S ribosomal RNA". It matches the Rfam family "Bacterial small subunit ribosomal RNA", at positions 28 to 507 of the family's 1533-position model. The record is from RNAcentral.